UCAAUAAUCUACGGAUACAGUGUCACGU
Molecule: small RNA, 28 nt
Filed under: Bombyx mori (domestic silkworm)
Lineage: Eukaryota; Metazoa; Arthropoda; Insecta; Lepidoptera; Bombycidae
Description: piRNA piR-bmo-1282310
Source: RNAcentral